AAAAUUAAUAUAUUAAUAUAUUUUUAGGUGGACAUAUCGCUGUGUACAAGAGCCACAAAGAUGGUCAAAAGUAGGUGCAACAGUAGUCGUAACAUUUACAUACUGGUGGUUUUAUUGGAACUUGUAUCAUGAGUUUGGUUCAGUCAUAGGAUAUUAUGGUGCUACAACAUUACCAAAUCCUAAAAAAUGGACAGACGAAGAACUUGGCAUCCCUUCGACCUAUGCAUAAAUUACAAAUACAUAGAAUAUUUAAUGUACUAUAUCAGUUAUUAUAGAUUCGUCAAAUGUGAUUAAAAAUAUAAUUAUUUGGAUUUCUUAUUAUAUUGGUACAUAAUUUGUCAAAGUAGGACAAUGACACAAACAACUCUUAUAUAAAAUGGACCAAGCGAAGAACUCUAAUAGUCAAAGGAAUUCAGUAAUAAUAAAUUAAUUAUAUAAUAUUAAGUUUCAUUUUGUAAAUGAAUAGUAAGAAAAAUAU
Ceratosolen solmsi marchali is the source of this 478-nucleotide long non-coding RNA. RefSeq lists it as uncharacterized. The transcript is spliced from 3 exons. The record is from RefSeq and is a predicted model, not a curated record. Lineage: Eukaryota; Metazoa; Arthropoda; Insecta; Hymenoptera; Agaonidae.